AACGAACGCUGGCGGCAGGCCUAACACAUGCAAGUCGAGCGAGGACUUCGGUCCUAGCGGCGGACGGGUGAGUAACGCGUGGGAACGUGCCCUUUGCUUCGGAAUAGCCCUGGGAAACUGGGAGUAAUACCGGAUGAGCCCUUUGGGGGAAAGAUUUAUCGGCGAAGGAUCGGCCCGCGUUGGAUUAGGUAGUUGGUGGGGUAAUGGCCUACCAAGCCGACGAUCCAUAGCUGGUUUGAGAGGAUGAUCAGCCACACUGGGACUGAGACACGGCCCAGACUCCUACGGGAGGCAGCAGUGGGGAAUCUUAGACAAUGGGGGAAACCCUGAUCUAGCCAUGCCGCGUGAGCGAUGAAGGCCUUAGGGUGGUAUAGCUCUUUCAGCGGGGAAGAUAAUGACGGUACCAGCAGAAGAAGCCCCGGCUAACUCCGU
Molecule: ribosomal RNA, 432 nt
Filed under: uncultured bacterium
Lineage: Bacteria
Description: partial 16S ribosomal RNA
Rfam family: Bacterial small subunit ribosomal RNA
Source: RNAcentral